This 450-nucleotide ribosomal RNA is filed under the name uncultured bacterium. RNAcentral's name for it is "partial 16S ribosomal RNA". It matches the Rfam family "Bacterial small subunit ribosomal RNA", at positions 354 to 796 of the family's 1533-position model. The record is from RNAcentral.
GUGGGGAAUAUUGGACAAUGGGCGAAAGCCUGAUCCAGCCAUACCGCGUGUGUGAAGAAGGUCUUCGGAUUGUAAAGCACUUUAAGUUGGGAGGAAGGGCAGUAAGUUAAUACCUUGCUGUUUUGACGUUACCAACAGAAUAAGCACCGGCUAACUUCGUGCCAGCAGCCGCGGUAAUACGAAGGGUGCAAGCGUUAAUCGGAAUUACUGGGCGUAAAGCGCGCGUAGGUGGUUCAGCAAGUUGAAGGUGAAAUCCCCGGGCUCAACCUGGGAACUGCCUCCAAAACUGCAUGACUAGAGUACGGUAGAGGGUAGUGGAAUUUCCUGUGUAGCGGUGAAAUGCGUAGAUAUAGGAAGGAACACCAGUGGCGAAGGCGACUACCUGGACUGAUACUGACACCGAGGUGCGAAAGCGUGGGGAGCAAACAGGAUUAGAAACCCUAGUAGUCC